Molecule: ribosomal RNA, 825 nt
Filed under: uncultured Stenotrophomonas sp.
Lineage: Bacteria; Pseudomonadati; Pseudomonadota; Gammaproteobacteria; Lysobacterales; Lysobacteraceae
Description: bacterial SSU rRNA
Rfam family: Bacterial small subunit ribosomal RNA
Source: RNAcentral
UAGAGUUUGAUCCUGGCUCAGAGUGAACGCUGGCGGUAGGCCUAACACAUGCAAGUCGAACGGCAGCACAGAGGAGCUNNNUCCUUGGGUGGCGAGUGGCGGACGGGUGAGGAAUACAUCGGAAUCUACUCUGUCGUGGGGGAUAACGUAGGGAAACUUACGCUAAUACCGCAUACGACCUACGGGUGAAAGCAGGGGAUCUUCGGACCUUGCGCGAUUGAAUGAGCCGAUGUCGGAUUAGCUAGUUGGCGGGGUAAAGGCCCACCAAGGCGACGAUCCGUAGCUGGUCUGAGAGGAUGAUCAGCCACACUGGAACUGAGACACGGUCCAGACUCCUACGGGAGGCAGCAGUGGGGAAUAUUGGACAAUGGGCGCAAGCCUGAUCCAGCCAUACCGCGUGGGUGAAGAAGGCCUUCGGGUUGUAAAGCCCUUUUGUUGGGAAAGAAAUCCAGCUGGCUAAUACCCGGUUGGGAUGACGGUACCCAAAGAAUAAGCACCGGCUAACUUCGUGCCAGCAGCCGCGGUAAUACGAAGGGUGCAAGCGUUACUCGGAAUUACUGGGCGUAAAGCGUGCGUAGGUGGUCGUUUAAGUCCGUUGUGAAAGCCCUGGGCUCAACCUGGGAACUGCAGCGGAUACUGGGCGACUAGAAUGUGGUAGAGGGUAGCGGAAUUCCUGGUGUAGCAGUGAAAUGCGUAGAGAUCAGGAGGAACAUCCAUGGCGAAGGCAGCUACCUGGACCAACAUUGACACUGAGGCACGAAAGCNNGGGGAGCAAACAGGAUUAGAUACCCUGGUAGUNNNNNNCCUAAACGAUGCGAACUGGAU